GUGGGGAAUUUUGGACAAUGGGCGCAAGCCUGAUCCAGCAAUGCCGCGUGCAGGAAGAAGGCCUUCGGGUUGUAAACUGCUUUUGUACGGAACGAAACGGUCCUGGUUAAUACCUGGGGCUAAUGACGGUACCGUAAGAAUAAGCACCGGCUAACUACGUGCCAGCAGCCGCGGUAAUACGUAGGGUGCAAGCGUUAAUCGGAAUUACUGGGCGUAAAGCGUGCGCAGGCGGUGUUGUAAGACAGGCGUGAAAUCCCCGGGCUCAACCUGGGAAUUGCGCUUGUGACUGCAAGGCUGGAGUGCGGCAGAGGGGGAUGGAAUUCCGCGUGUAGCAGUGAAAUGCGUAGAUAUGCGGAGGAACACCGAUGGCGAAGGCAAUCCCCUGGGCCUGCACUGACGCUCAUGCACGAAAGCGUGGGGAGCAAACAGGAUUAGAAACCCGGGUAGUCC
Molecule: ribosomal RNA, 450 nt
Filed under: uncultured bacterium
Lineage: Bacteria
Description: partial 16S ribosomal RNA
Rfam family: Bacterial small subunit ribosomal RNA
Source: RNAcentral